GCCAUCUUGGCGCAAUGGUAGCGCAUCACCUUCCUACGGAAGUAUGAGGUGGGGGUUGCGGGUUCGAUCCCCGUAGGUGGUA
Molecule: transfer RNA, 82 nt
Filed under: Grifola frondosa (maitake)
Lineage: Eukaryota; Fungi; Basidiomycota; Agaricomycetes; Polyporales; Grifolaceae
Rfam family: tRNA
About the family: Transfer RNA (tRNA) molecules are approximately 80 nucleotides in length. Their secondary structure includes four short double-helical elements and three loops (D, anti-codon, and T loops).
Source: Rfam by way of RNAcentral